RNAcentral lists this non-coding RNA (746 nucleotides) under Pongo abelii (Sumatran orangutan). Lineage: Eukaryota; Metazoa; Chordata; Mammalia; Primates; Hominidae. The record is from RNAcentral.
GGACGCGAGCCUGCUUCCAUCUGACGCUGGACGCUUGUCCCUGCCCCGCGUUGCCUUUUAAAUUUUAGCUCAUUCCGUGACACCUGCCGUCAGACAUUUAUGCAGUGUGUGAUUCUUUCUAAAACAACUCCCUGGAAGAGAGGACAUUUAAUUCAACAAUUUAUUGGCCACCUACUGUGCGCCAGGCAAUGAACUUGGAACUGGGGCUACUGGGUUACAGCAGUGACCAAGACAGAGGUCCCUGUUCUUAAGGAGCAAGUGAGGGCAACAGAAAAGAGCAGUCAGCUGUCAUGCGAGGGCACUCAAUCAGCCCUGUGGAAAGCUCUAUGUGGUGAGAAACUGAAGCCUCCUGCCAACACCAACAAGGAACUGAGACCUACUGCCAAUAGCCAUCUGAGUGAUCCAUCCUGGAAUGAGAUCCUCCAGCCCCAGUCAAGUCUUCAGAUGACUGCAGCCCUGGCCAGCAUCUCAACUGCAACCUCAUGAAUGACCCUGAGCCAGAACCAUGCAACUAAACUCUGCCUGGAUUCAUGACCCACAGAAACUGUGAGAUGGUAGCUGUUUGCUUUGUUAAGCCUCUAAGUCUGGAAAUAAUGUAUUAAGCAGUAGUAGACAAUGAACACAAGAUUAUUAUUCAGCUGUUGAAUUGGAAGGGGAGGGGAAGAAAAAGUUUUCAGAUCACAAAAUAUUCAUUGUGUAAAACUUCAAAAAUUCUGAAAUUUAAGGAAAAAAAAUCAUUUGUUGGG